GGAUGUGAUCAUGCCAGCACUAACGCACUGGAUCCCAUCAGAACUUCUAAGUUAAGCGUGCUUGGGCGAGAGUAGUACUAGGAUGGGUGACCCCAGGGAAGCCUUCGUGUUGCAUCCC
This is a non-coding RNA of Capsicum annuum, 118 nucleotides long. The record is from Rfam. Lineage: Eukaryota; Viridiplantae; Streptophyta; Magnoliopsida; Solanales; Solanaceae.